GCAUUGUGGGAAACGGACUAUUUCCAGCAUGGCGCCCGUAAAGAUUAUGAACACGGAAGUAAAAAUAGUAAUAAAUUAUUAUCAAAAACAGGCCUCAUCAAACCGGGUCAGCCAUGAUAUAUUCUUGGAUGCAGUUUGUGCUUCAAAAGGAGCUACUUUUCAUGCCAGCCUAUCGAUACUAUGUGGGAACUGGGAUUCGGGAUGCUCUCCCACUGGUAUCAUAUGCAGAUCAGUGGUCACAAGAACGUACACAACAUCAUUAAUGUCAGCAAUAUAUAUCUCCAACUUCAAACACACAGCUUGCAAAAUCGCUGAAUAUUGCACAAAAGCAGCUUCGUUACAAACUUCCAGCAACUCGAAAUCCACAAGCAGUCUCGUUCCCCACCCACUUUGACUUCGUAGCGAAGGCAUGUUUUUUUUGGGAAACCGUUAACAUCUCACAACUAAACGUAUACUACGGAGAUUGACAAGUUGAAAAAUAAAUUACUGUAAUCACUUCCAAUUUGCGCACUAAGUUAAACUCCAGUUCCAGUUUGUCUUUAUUGUUGAAAUGUUACUCUACACAUUCGCUUUGAAAAUAGAGGUUGGCGUGUUGUUGGAAGUACAUGUACAUGUCGAAUGUGUUAUUGUAAAAACUAUUGGUAUUGUGUUUUUAGUGCAGACAUUGUAUUUAAGUUUCGAUUUCUAGCAUAAAUUUAUAUAUUUUGUUAAAUAAUUUGCGUUUGAAUGUGAUUGUUUGUUGCUUACUUGCGAACUAUUUUUUAUGUGUAAAUAUGCAUAGACGCUAGUGGAUAUGUAAUCAGGUUACCAUAUUUACAACAAUAAAAUUUAACGGCUGUU
Molecule: long non-coding RNA, 840 nt
Organism: Dreissena polymorpha
Lineage: Eukaryota; Metazoa; Mollusca; Bivalvia; Myida; Dreissenidae
Exons: 2
Source: RefSeq, a predicted model, not a curated record